Molecule: ribosomal RNA, 478 nt
Filed under: uncultured bacterium
Lineage: Bacteria
Description: partial 16S ribosomal RNA
Rfam family: Bacterial small subunit ribosomal RNA
Source: RNAcentral
GACGAACGCUGGCGGCGUGCUUAACACAUGCAAGUCGAACGGUAAGGCCCUUCGGGGUACACGAGUGGCGAACGGGUGAGUAACACGUGGGUGAUCUGCCCUGCACUUCGGGAUAAGCCUGGGAAACUGGGUCUAAUACCGGAUAGGACCCUGGGAUGCAUGUCCUGGGGUGGAAAGCUUUUGCGGUGUGGGAUGGGCCCGCGGCCUAUCAGCUUGUUGGUGGGGUGAUGGCCUACCAAGGCGGCGACGGGUAGCCGGCCUGAGCGGGUGACCGGCCACACUGGGACUGGGAGACGGCCCAGUCUGCUACGGGAGGCAGCAGUGGGGAAUAUUGCACAAUGGGCGCAAGCCUGAUGCAGCGACGCCGCGUGAGGGAUGACGGCCUUCGGGUUGUAAACCUCUUUCAGCACCGACGAAGCGCAAGUGACGGUAGGUGCAGAAGAAGGACCGGCCAACUACGUGCCAGCAGCCGCAGUAA